GCUGCCGCCCCGCGCGGCUCCGCCCCGUUCUCGCACACGCGGGUCGCGUCCCGCCCGCUCCUGGGCCCCGUCGAGGCUCCGCGCACGGUACCCACGCCGACCCCCUCUCCACCGCUGCCCGUCCGGCCCAGCCGCCAUGUUCGGAGCGCGGCCCUUUCCUGCGGCUCUGCUCGGCCGCAGGCACGAAAGUCCCCUUUUGUUAAGCAGAACCGCGCUCGUGGCCUUAACGAAACACCGACUGCCGGCCAAAGCUUCCUCCCCUCGAGUAAAACCCACGCGGUGCUACCGAAAGCCUCGUGUUACUGCGGAAAGCUCCUCUGCUGCGCUCGAUGGGGCGCACGCGCGGUGGAAGGAGAUGCCGGAGCAGUUUAAUGGUCCCGGCGCCAAAACCGUCUGCAAACAGCGCCUGAACUUUCACCACGUCAGGUUCCCAUCCCUCCGUUGUUCCCAUAACGCAGGCAUUUAAUUCAUUAAAUUGUUUACGGGAAGGAGGAAGUCAUAAACUACCCCAACUUCUGCUCCCUGUUUGAGUAAGAAGCUUCCCCAGGUCGAGCCGAACACUUCUCAGCGAAUAACCGAAAUGGAAGCCGAGUUUAAAGAGCGCAUUGAAGAGGCGGGGGGGGCUCGGCUGCAGCCCCCGGCGCUGGGGCUCACCCAGCAGGCAGGCAGGGCCAGCAGACACCUGCAGCACAGAUGAUGGGCUGAGCUCCUCCCGAUGCCUUCUCCUGGCGGAGAUGAGCUCAGCCGGCACCGCGCCCUGGCCUCGCCCCGAGGAGCCGCCUGGGCUCCGCUCCGAGCUGACGGCAGCAGCCCCGGCUCAGGGGCGUCCCGCGCGCUGCCCGCUGCUGUUGUGCCGCCGCUGUACCUGCAGCUGGGAGCAGAAGCGGCAGCAAGUCCAGGCAAACGGGAGUCUCAACCUAUUUACGUAAAGUACAGCACAGCUGUUUUGUGCUCUCAUUUUUACACCGAGGGAAUCUCCAGCAGCAGUCACCUCAUACAGCAGGGAGAAAACUGAGCUGCUUCCUCACCUUCAGAACAGCUGCUCUGUUCCACACCCAGAACUCAAGGGUCCCCAGCGGGGAGAAGAAAGCUUUGAGCAACACGACUUCUGUGGCCGUGCCAAGGUCAAGGAUGGGGAAACAUUCCUGCAUGUCAGAAGGCACCAAAGCCCUGUUGGGGAUGAGCCCCCAGGGCUCCUUCCGUCGGAGCCAUGGUUAGAAGGGCCGUGUUUAGAAGCACCAUUUCUGCUAAUAGAAUCAGGUGCAAAGUCUCCUGUGGGAAAAAUACAAUGCAUACAAUGCAGGUACUUUACAGUGGAAGUUAUUACAGGGGAAGACAAAAGCACUGCAAAGAUCUUAAGGUGAUCAGAGCAGAGAGGAAAGUUAAAAUGACCCCCAAAAUAACAAGAUUGCCCUUGGAGGGAAGGUGAGGGGUCCAGGUCUGAAUACCCACAGGCAUCUCAUCAUCCUGCGUGCUGCAUAACACAAAGUGCUCUGCUGUACUCGGCGGGUUGGUGGCACAGCACUGCCUGACUUCAGAAUCAUCUGCCCUGGAUUCUGAUAAAGCAGCACACCUUACAGAAGAAAAGGCAGAUUCCUCCCAGUUGAAAUGAAACCUUCUUGAAGGGUUUGGUAGCCCUAUUUGCUUCCAAGGAUGUGCUGCUAUAGAACUGAAUGGUACAGCAAGAAGGGGCAAACAAGAACAGGAGCUGCUAGCAAGAAGCAGGAGCUCAGCCAGAGAGGAAGGCAUCCUGAGUGCCAGCAGCCUCAGCUGCAUCCCAGAGCACAGAGCUCCAAGUGCAGCCUGGUCCCACGGCACCCUGAGCCCUGGGACAACGGGAGCACCGGGAACUGAGGUGAGCUCUAGGAAAGAUGGGAGCCCAGGGCUCUGAGCAGACAGAUACCUGCAGCUCUGGGCACUGAGAAACCUGAACUGCUCCCAGAGACUCAGAAAUCACAACAGGAUGCUGACAUCCCAGGAACUGCGCUGUGGGGUCACCAAGCAGCAGGCUGGGACAGAGCCCUAUGGAUCCAAGGCAGUGUCACCCUGCGGUGCCCAGAGAGGCUCCGUACCACAUAUGAGCCUAUAAUCAGCUUUUGGCCUUAAGUCACAGAUAAGCGAACUCCACUGAAGCCAAAGCACUCCUUUCAACAGCAGAUUUCUGCCCUAUUAAAAUACACAUUCACAGCAAAAGGCGGGGAGGGAAACAUGCUGAGCCUUUCAGCUCUUUAACAAAAUAGAUUCCUGGGAACAAACAGAUUUAGUAAGCAGGAUGUAUGACAGAUCAAACCAAACCAGUUCACCUGGGCAAACCAGCCACACGUACGAGCCUGCAAAGCAGUCUUAAUUUCACCACCAAGGCUAGGAAAGGGUUUUACAUUUUCCAGAAAGCCAGCUGCUCCGAGAUACUGAUGCACGUCAGUCUUGGAGUAAAACAUUCAGUGUUAAGCUACCCCAGCCUCGGGAUCCUGGUUAGGAAUAUGGAGGGAUCUGCUGAGCAAUCCCGGACAUUUCAUUAACACAGCUUGCAGAUGUUGCACUGACUCCUGCUGUGGUGCCAGGGAUGCAGACUGUUUGGCUUGUUUUGCCUUGGCUGAUUUGAGUCCCAACAGCAGCAUUUUCAAUGGAUAACAACGGGAACUUUGCUAGCAGCUUCUGCUACAAGAGGGGAGAAGCAGCAGUUUCAAUACCUCAACACUUGGUGCUUUUUCCCCCAGAAGCUGUGCUCCAAACCCCUGCCCUGCCGUGUGCUGGCUGACAACACGCAGGCUUCACAUCUGCGGUGCCUGCCGCGCUCGGGGAAGCCUAACAAGCACCACAAGCUCUUAACUCUUCAGGCUGCAGGCUGAACGUGUCAGCUACAGGAAACCACGCGGAGGGGCCGCGCCGAAGGGGCAGGCAGGAAAUCUGAGCCCCGUCUGUGGGCUGCGCCGAGCCGAGCGAGGACGGAAGUCCCCCAGCUGCACAGAGCUGCUGGCCGGGCUGCGUGAGCAGCAGGGCCAGACUACCGUAGGCACAAGGAUAAGCAAAGCAGCGCCGUAGGAAGCGCGGCAGAGGCAGAGCUGAGCUUCACACGCCUCCCUUCAUCUCCAGCAGCUGCUGACUCACCCAAAUUACAGCUGUACCUGCUUGCUAACAGCACCGCCUGCUCCAGGCAGGACGUGCCAAGGGUGGGAAGCUUCUGGGUAAGUGUGGAGGCUGAUGAGGAGCAGCCACCCGUGGAGCACUUGGGGAGCCGGCGAGGGUGAGGCCCAGCUCAUUAUCUUAAGGGUAGUUCUAAAGUAGGUCAGAGAAAUCUAACCCUAAAAUCCCCCCUUUGCAUCGGCUGUGAAGGGAGCCAUGGGUGACAAGCUCAGGUCUGGACCUCAGCAUCGAGGAAAGCGACUCAGCCACGCAGCCCCUGCAGCACAGUGGGCUGAAUGGAAAAACACAACCUGCCGUGAUGCUCAGAGCUACAAAGCACAUCUUUCUUAAAAAGGAAAGGGUAACUGCAGUGAAACAAAGCUCCAUCGCAACCGUUCCCCCGAGUAUCUGAACUCAGCUGUGGUUUCUGCAUGGGUUGAGUGGAAACAGCAAUAAAAAACCCACUGAGGAGCCCGUCCCUCCUGCCAGCCGUGCAGAGCCCACUAUCACAGAGCACAGGCACGUUGCUGCGCCCCAGAUAAACCCACUGCCCUCUGCUCAGUGACGCUGCACAGGCCCAGGCAAGGAGAGAAGCCGAUCUGGUAAUAAACAUUAAUUAAAGCUUA
Molecule: long non-coding RNA, 3749 nt
Organism: Tympanuchus pallidicinctus (lesser prairie-chicken)
Lineage: Eukaryota; Metazoa; Chordata; Aves; Galliformes; Phasianidae
Exons: 2
Source: RefSeq, a predicted model, not a curated record